RNAcentral lists this unclassified non-coding RNA (225 nucleotides) under uncultured fungus. RNAcentral's name for it is "sequence contains ITS1, 5.8S rRNA gene". The stretch from base 177 to 225 matches the Rfam family "5.8S ribosomal RNA", at positions 1 to 49 of the family's 154-position model. Lineage: Eukaryota; Fungi. The record is from RNAcentral.
UCUCCGUAGGUGAACCUGCGGAGGGAUCAUUACUGAGUGAGGGCUCACGCCCGACCUCCAACCCUUUGUGAACACAUCUUGUUGCUUCGGGGGCGACCCUGCCGUUUCGACGGCGAGCGCCCCCGGAGGCCAUUAAACACUGCAUCAUUGCGUCGGAGUUAAAGUAAAUUAAACAAAACUUUCAACAACGGAUCUCUUGGUUCUGGCAUCGAUGAAGAACGCAGC